RNAcentral lists this ribosomal RNA (433 nucleotides) under uncultured bacterium. RNAcentral's name for it is "partial 16S ribosomal RNA". It matches the Rfam family "Bacterial small subunit ribosomal RNA", at positions 29 to 507 of the family's 1533-position model. The record is from RNAcentral.
AACGAACGCUGGCGGCAUGCCUAACACAUGCAAGUCGAACGAGACCUUCGGGUCUAGUGGCGCACGGGUGCGUAACGCGUGGGAACCUGCCCUUAGGUUCGGAAUAACUCCCCGAAAGGGGUGCUAAUACCGGAUAAUGUCUUCGGACCAAAGAUUUAUCGCCUUUGGAUGGGCCCUCGUUGGAUUAGCUAGUUGGUAUGGUAAAAGCCUACCAAGGCGAAGAUCCAUAGCUGGUCUGAGAGGAUGAUCAGCCACACUGGGACUGAGACACGGACCAGACUCCUACGGGAGGAAGCAAUGGGGACUAUUGGACGAUGGGCGAAAGCAUGAUCCAGCAAUGCCGCGUGAGUGAUGAAGGACUUAGGGUUGUAAAGCUCUUUUAAACGGGAUGAUAAUGACAGUACCGGGAGAAUAAGCUCCGGCUAACUCCGUG